UCCGCCGGAGGGUGCGAGAGCAGUUGGAAGUAUGAAGUAUUUGCAAUUUUGAAAGUCAAAGGCACUGGGAGGAGGUUUACUCCAGCAAAUAGCGGAGUCACGAAGAAAACUCAGAGAUAUGAGCAGAGACACCAGCUCCCCAACACCCAAAUGUUGCGAUGGCCAGCCAAGUCUUCCCCAGAUACUGCAACUCGGCUGCCCCCACGUUCCGGGCCGGACAGUCCCCUCACUGGCACAGGCAGCAAACAUGAGAGGGGGCAGGAACAUGAGGGAUAAGGGCGGGGAAAAGGUUGAAUGAACCAAGGCUGGACAGAGACACUUCGCUCCAGUUUUUCAAUGCAGAAUCAACAUCACAAAAGACCUGGCUUUCAUUUUCACAGUGCAGCGUCCAUGUCUAUUAGCUCCUGUAAGAACUGGGAAGAACAAGAGAAGAUGGAGGAAGACACCAUCCCAAAUGUCACCUGUUAAAGUACAGCACCUUAGCCCUGUCCCCCCCAGAGAACACGUGGAGGAUGAAAGGGCACAAAACAAAAAGCAUGGAAUACAGGAGCAGAAAAGACAGACAGAGCACCAAGCAGGUUUGGUUUAGAAAAUAAUCUAAAGCCUCCUAGAAUCAAUAGGAAGUCCCUUUAAUUGAUUGCAAUGGGCUUUGAAUUAGACCUAUAUUCUACUUAUCAAGUACAGCUGCUGAGAAUCAAUAAUAUUUUGACUUACCCCUCAAAGAAACAACUACACCAGUAAAUUUUGACUAAGAAAAAGUACAAUUAACAGCAUAUUAAUUCAUUAGAGUUUAUCUCACUGAAGUCCCCUUCUCAUCAGAUUGUAGUCAGCUGGCAUUUGUAAGUGAUCAUGCAGGCAUGAAUAUCCUAUAUAAAUGAGGCAGUAAAGAAAAAAACUUUUGUUCUUAGCAUUAAUUCAGAUCAAAUAUUCAUUGAUAUCUACAUUUCUCAGCGAGUAUCUCAAGCAGAGAUCAAUAAACACUUAUUAGUCACUGACCACGUUU
Long non-coding RNA from Tyto alba (common barn owl), 1003 nucleotides. RefSeq lists it as uncharacterized. The transcript has 3 exons. Lineage: Eukaryota; Metazoa; Chordata; Aves; Strigiformes; Tytonidae. The record is from RefSeq and is a predicted model, not a curated record.